RNAcentral lists this ribosomal RNA (405 nucleotides) under uncultured bacterium. RNAcentral describes it as "partial 16S ribosomal RNA". It matches the Rfam family "Bacterial small subunit ribosomal RNA", at positions 30 to 526 of the family's 1533-position model. The record is from RNAcentral.
AUUGAACGCUGGCGGCAGGCUUAACACAUGCAAGUCGAACGAGUGGCGGACGGGUGAGUAAUGCUUGGGAAUCUAGCUUAUGGAGGGGGAUAACUACGGGAAACUGUAGCUAAUACCGCGUACCAUAGGAUGAGCCCAAGUGGGAUUAGGUAGUUGGUGAGGUAAAGGCUCACCAAGCCGACGAUCACUAGCUGGUCUGAGAGGAUGACCAGCCACACUGGGACUGAGACACGGACCAGACUACUACGGGAGGCAGCAGUGGGGAAUAUUGCGCAAUGGGGGCAACCUGACGCAGCCAUGCCGCGUGAAUGAAGAAGGCCUUCGGGUUGUAAAGUUCUUUCGGUAGCGAGGCGUUAACGACAGAAGAAGCACCGGCUAACUCCGUGCCAGACGCCGCGGUAAUAC